CCCGAAGCGGCCGCCGGUCCGAGUGUCAGGUGAACUGAACUUCAGAGCGAGCAUGGAGGUCAUACAGACGAAGACACUAGAUGUUCAGUAGAUGCUGAAAAAAAGAUGUCACCCAGUGUUACAAAGCAACUCUUUCAAUGGACCCAAACUGGACCUGCAAAAAUGAUACAUAAAAGACAUCAUGCCUAAAUGACUUUGCGCAGUGGGAGUAGCACAAACCAAAAGAUUUAUCUUAAAAAUGUAUCUUUCCGCUGCUACUGUGUCCACACUUAUUGCUCUACAGCCAUCACUUUACCCUAAAACGUAGCCAUCGUUCUCCACUCUCCAAUGAUGUGUCUCUCAAAGCUAAGCAAUGUAAACUUUUAACAUUUUAACAUUAACAUUGUGGAUCCAAGUAAAGGGAGUAUCAUCUAACUGACCCAUAGAGUUUGUCUUAACAGCAGGAAAGACUACAAAUUUAAACUUGUAUUUCAGCUCAUUUGGCUCAUUUCAGCACAAUCAGCUUUUUCCAAACCAUUCAGCUUUCAGCAUUCAUUAAUCCUGCAUUUUCCUCAGGAAAAGCAUUCUCUAGAUUUAUAUACCAGUCUCAGUUACUCUUGUUGAGAUGUUAAGAGUAAGAAUAAGUUCAGAUUCUCUUAAAAAUAUUAACACUAAUAUGUCAUGUUAACAACACUUACUGCACUUGUGGAGUUAUUUGGAGAAUCCUAAGAGACUCUUAGAAACAUCUGAAGGAAAAAUAUUCUUUAAUCGUGGAUGCAGGCUCAUGCAGAAAUAUUGAUGAAUUAUUUGAUUUGAGUUUUUAGAGUGAGAACAGACAGAUGGAAUUCUCAAAGUCAGUCAGUGUCUCUGGGUCUGACACAACAACAGCACAGAGGUUUGAGUUUUUGGAAGAAGCCCUGUUCUUUCUACUUUUUCUUGCUGAUUUUAAGGUCUUCAGACUUCUUUGUCAUUUUGAUCACAGAUACAGCUGGCUCAGACAUGAACUGAGCUUCAGAAGGAGGUUCCUCACAGGGAAGAACAUCAAGAACUUGAAGAAUUUCAGAAGGAGGCUCCUCACAGGGAAGAACAUCUGACAUUGGUGGACUUUGAGAACAGGGCUUGAGAUCUUGCACAUGAUGGUCUGGACCAUGUCAUCUCUGAUGGAGCGAGAGAAGAUGGCCUGGCUUUCCAUUGCUGUUACAGUUUUGGAGACUUGAUCCAAAGUGGCCUUUGUGACACUGGUGGAGAGGAUGUUCAGAUUCUGGGAGGCCAUGUUCAAGAGGAGGCAAGGAGGAAGCUCGCAGAGACCCUGAAAGAUGCAGGGAACUACUUCUAUCACCACUUCCUGUGCGGUGAGCAGUUAGGAGCACUGUGCUUCCUGCUGCUUUUCUGUAAGGAUUUCAAUGUAACUUUUUACCAUGCUGAGGAGUUUAGGUGUUCUGCAGAAUAAAGUUAUAAGGAUUAUCUUUUAAAUACAUUUAAAGCAUCACAGAUAUAUUGAAACACUGUAGCUGGACUAUUAAUAAUUCAAACUCUCAAAGCCUUCAAAAGAAAACAAAACAGAGGUCUUCUCUCAGCAUUACACUUCAUCACAAACAGACUUUUAAGUAUGAGGUGGAAGUCUGUAGGUUUCACAGUAACUCACUGCUCUCCGAGUGUCUCUUUGCUCUUCUCCACCAAGAGAUCUCGCAGAUCUUCAGCAUUGAUUUGUGAUGGGAUUUGAUUUUCCUGCUGAAGUCUAAGGAAAUCCAUCAUCAUUGCAACCUAAAAAUAAAAGAAGACAUUUAAUCACCACCACUCUCAGGUCCUCAGAAAUUACCUGAUAUUUUAUGUCAGUUGUGGUUUGGAUGGAUCUGGGUCUUACCUGAGCCCUGCAGAUCUUCACAGCCAUGUUGUAAACAGAUGUGUUGAACAACAUCUGUCAAAGAAAUACGAAGUUACUCAUUGUUACUUCAGUUGAUUUUCAGUUUGUCAGCUUUUAAAACUACAUGAAAUACUUCAAACUGUUAAAAGAAAACACUUUAAUU
Oreochromis niloticus (Nile tilapia) is the source of this 2006-nucleotide long non-coding RNA. RefSeq lists it as uncharacterized. The record is from RefSeq and is a predicted model, not a curated record. The transcript has 3 exons. Lineage: Eukaryota; Metazoa; Chordata; Actinopteri; Cichliformes; Cichlidae.